RNAcentral lists this ribosomal RNA (2923 nucleotides) under Staphylococcus aureus. RNAcentral's name for it is "23S ribosomal RNA". It matches the Rfam family "Bacterial large subunit ribosomal RNA". Lineage: Bacteria; Bacillati; Bacillota; Bacilli; Caryophanales; Staphylococcaceae. The record is from RNAcentral.
GAUUAAGUUAUUAAGGGCGCACGGUGGAUGCCUUGGCACUAGAAGCCGAUGAAGGACGUUACUAACGACGAUAUGCUUUGGGGAGCUGUAAGUAAGCUUUGAUCCAGAGAUUUCCGAAUGGGGAAACCCAGCAUGAGUUAUGUCAUGUUAUCGAUAUGUGAAUACAUAGCAUAUCAGAAGGCACACCCGGAGAACUGAAACAUCUUAGUACCCGGAGGAAGAGAAAGAAAAUUCGAUUCCCUUAGUAGCGGCGAGCGAAACGGGAAGAGCCCAAACCAACAAGCUUGCUUGUUGGGGUUGUAGGACACUCUAUACGGAGUUACAAAGGACGACAUUAGACGAAUCAUCUGGAAAGAUGAAUCAAAGAAGGUAAUAAUCCUGUAGUCGAAAAUGUUGUCUCUCUUGAGUGGAUCCUGAGUACGACGGAGCACGUGAAAUUCCGUCGGAAUCUGGGAGGACCAUCUCCUAAGGCUAAAUACUCUCUAGUGACCGAUAGUGAACCAGUACCGUGAGGAAAAGGUGAAAAGCACCCCGGAAGGGGAGUGAAAUAGAACCUGAAACCGUGUGCUUACAAGUAGUCAGAGCCCGUUAAUGGGUGAUGGCGUGCCUUUUGUAGAAUGAACCGGCGAGUUACGAUUUGAUGCAAGGUUAAGCAGUAAAUGUGGAGCCGUAGCGAAAGCGAGUCUGAAUAGGGCGUUUAGUAUUUGGUCGUAGACCCGAAACCAGGUGAUCUACCCUUGGUCAGGUUGAAGUUCAGGUAACACUGAAUGGAGGACCGAACCGACUUACGUUGAAAAGUGAGCGGAUGAACUGAGGGUAGCGGAGAAAUUCCAAUCGAACCUGGAGAUAGCUGGUUCUCUCCGAAAUAGCUUUAGGGCUAGCCUCAAGUGAUGAUUAUUGGAGGUAGAGCACUGUUUGGACGAGGGGCCCCUCUCGGGUUACCGAAUUCAGACAAACUCCGAAUGCCAAUUAAUUUAACUUGGGAGUCAGAACAUGGGUGAUAAGGUCCGUGUUCGAAAGGGAAACAGCCCAGACCACCAGCUAAGGUCCCAAAAUAUAUGUUAAGUGGAAAAGGAUGUGGCGUUGCCCAGACAACUAGGAUGUUGGCUUAGAAGCAGCCAUCAUUUAAAGAGUGCGUAAUAGCUCACUAGUCGAGUGACACUGCGCCGAAAAUGUACCGGGGCUAAACAUAUUACCGAAGCUGUGGAUUGUCCUUUGGACAAUGGUAGGAGAGCGUUCUAAGGGCGUUGAAGCAUGAUCGUAAGGACAUGUGGAGCGCUUAGAAGUGAGAAUGCCGGUGUGAGUAGCGAAAGACGGGUGAGAAUCCCGUCCACCGAUUGACUAAGGUUUCCAGAGGAAGGCUCGUCCGCUCUGGGUUAGUCGGGUCCUAAGCUGAGGCCGACAGGCGUAGGCGAUGGAUAACAGGUUGAUAUUCCUGUACCACCUAUAAUCGUUUUAAUCGAUGGGGGGACGCAGUAGGAUAGGCGAAGCGUGCGAUUGGAUUGCACGUCUAAGCAGUAAGGCUGAGUAUUAGGCAAAUCCGGUACUCGUUAAGGCUGAGCUGUGAUGGGGAGAAGACAUUGUGUCUUCGAGUCGUUGAUUUCACACUGCCGAGAAAAGCCUCUAGAUAGAAAAUAGGUGCCCGUACCGCAAACCGACACAGGUAGUCAAGAUGAGAAUUCUAAGGUGAGCGAGCGAACUCUCGUUAAGGAACUCGGCAAAAUGACCCCGUAACUUCGGGAGAAGGGGUGCUCUUUAGGGUUAACGCCCAGAAGAGCCGCAGUGAAUAGGCCCAAGCGACUGUUUAUCAAAAACACAGGUCUCUGCUAAACCGUAAGGUGAUGUAUAGGGGCUGACGCCUGCCCGGUGCUGGAAGGUUAAGAGGAGUGGUUAGCUUCUGCGAAGCUACGAAUCGAAGCCCCAGUAAACGGCGGCCGUAACUAUAACGGUCCUAAGGUAGCGAAAUUCCUUGUCGGGUAAGUUCCGACCCGCACGAAAGGCGUAACGAUUUGGGCACUGUCUCAACGAGAGACUCGGUGAAAUCAUAGUACCUGUGAAGAUGCAGGUUACCCGCGACAGGACGGAAAGACCCCGUGGAGCUUUACUGUAGCCUGAUAUUGAAAUUCGGCACAGCUUGUACAGGAUAGGUAGGAGCCUUUGAAACGUGAGCGCUAGCUUACGUGGAGGCGCUGGUGGGAUACUACCCUAGCUGUGUUGGCUUUCUAACCCGCACCACUUAUCGUGGUGGGAGACAGUGUCAGGCGGGCAGUUUGACUGGGGCGGUCGCCUCCUAAAAGGUAACGGAGGCGCUCAAAGGUUCCCUCAGAAUGGUUGGAAAUCAUUCAUAGAGUGUAAAGGCAUAAGGGAGCUUGACUGCGAGACCUACAAGUCAAGCAGGGUCGAAAGACGGACUUAGUGAUCCGGUGGUUCCGCAUGGAAGGGCCAUCGCUCAACGGAUAAAAGCUACCCCGGGGAUAACAGGCUUAUCUCCCCCAAGAGUUCACAUCGACGGGGAGGUUUGGCACCUCGAUGUCGGCUCAUCGCAUCCUGGGGCUGUAGUCGGUCCCAAGGGUUGGGCUGUUCGCCCAUUAAAGCGGUACGCGAGCUGGGUUCAGAACGUCGUGAGACAGUUCGGUCCCUAUCCGUCGUGGGCGUAGGAAAUUUGAGAGGAGCUGUCCUUAGUACGAGAGGACCGGGAUGGACAUACCUCUGGUGUACCAGUUGUCGUGCCAACGGCAUAGCUGGGUAGCUAUGUGUGGACGGGAUAAGUGCUGAAAGCAUCUAAGCAUGAAGCCCCCCUCAAGAUGAGAUUUCCCAACUUCGGUUAUAAGAUUCCUCAAAGAUGAUGAGGUUAAUAGGUUCGAGGUGGAAGCAUGGUGACAUGUGGAGCUGACGAAUACUAAUCGAUCGAAGACUUAAUCAA